GCCAGUAUGGUGUAGUGGUUUGAGCAUUGGUCUAUGACUCUAGAGACCAGGGUUUGAAUCCCUGCUCAACCA
RNAcentral lists this transfer RNA (72 nucleotides) under Phrynosoma platyrhinos (Desert horned lizard). Its description in RNAcentral is "tRNA-OTHER". Lineage: Eukaryota; Metazoa; Chordata; Lepidosauria; Squamata; Phrynosomatidae. The record is from RNAcentral.